CAGAGAUCUAAGGACCCAGCAUGUUGAGACGGCUUUCUGAGUAUCAUCUUACAGGGAAAAGAGCGGAGCAGUGGAAAUCAAGGCUGGGUGAGCAUAUGCCACAGACCUGGCACAGUGGAGUCAGUGUAUGAACCUGUUCUGCCUGACUUCCUUGAAUGUGAUCUUUUGACCAGAGUCUAUACUAUGGAAGAUGGACCUGUCAAGCCUCUCAGCCUGCAGCGCAAAUGCCUGACUUUAUAAACCAUGCCCAAGGAUACUCUGGGCAGCAGAAGGAUGGUAACAGUUCUUCACCCUAAAAUUUCACUUGGAGAGGGAAGCACACAAAGUACUGUUCACCUGUAUCCCUCUUUCUACAGACCAAUCAUCCUUUUAAAAAGCUACAAAAAGGCAAAAAAACAGACCUGGAACUGUUUUGGCGCUUUUAUUUUGAAAGAUACUAUACAAGAGCUUAUUAAAGACUUGGUCAAAAGAGCCACAUUAAUUUUUUUCCUGUCCUCCAUAAAAAUUCAAA
Molecule: long non-coding RNA, 511 nt
Organism: Manis pentadactyla (Chinese pangolin)
Lineage: Eukaryota; Metazoa; Chordata; Mammalia; Pholidota; Manidae
Exons: 3
Source: RefSeq, a predicted model, not a curated record